GAUGAACGCUGGCGGCGUGCCUAAUACAUGCAAGUCGAGCGAACGGACGAGAAGCUUGCUUCUCUGAUGUUAGCGGCGGACGGGUGAGUAACACGUGGAUAACCUACCUAUAAGACUGGGAUAACUUCGGGAAACCGGAGCUAAUACCGGAUGAUAUUUUGAACCGCAUGGUUCAAAAGUGAAAGACGGUCUUGCUGUCACUUAUAGAUGGAUCCGCGCUGCAUUAGCUAGUUGGUAAGGUAACGGCUUACCAAGGCAACGAUGCAUAGCCGACCUGAGAGGGUGAUCGGCCAAACUGGAACUGAGACACGGUACAGACUCCUACGGGAGGCAGCAGUAGGGAAUCUUCCGCAAUGGGCGAAAGCCUGACGGAGCAACGCCGCGUGAGUGAUGAAGGUCUUCGGAUCGUAAAACUCUGUUAUUAGGGAAGAACAUAUGUGUAAGUAACUGUGCACAUCUUGACGGUACCUAAUCAGAAAGCCACGGCUAACUACGUG
This 497-nucleotide ribosomal RNA is filed under the name uncultured bacterium. RNAcentral describes it as "partial 16S ribosomal RNA". It matches the Rfam family "Bacterial small subunit ribosomal RNA", at positions 28 to 507 of the family's 1533-position model. The record is from RNAcentral.